UACGAAGGGUGCAAGCGUUAAUCGGAAUUACUGGGCGUAAAGCGUGCGCAGGCGGUGCUGUAAGACAGGCGUGAAAUCCCCGGGCUUAACCUGGGAAUGGCGCUUGUGACUGCAGUGCUGGAGUGCGGCAGAGGGGGAUGGAAUUCCGCGUGUAGCAGUGAAAUGCGUAGAUAUGCGGAGGAACACCAAUGGCAAAGGCAAUCCCCUGGGCCUGUACUGACGCUCAUGCACGAAAGCGUGGGGAGCAAACAGG
This 253-nucleotide ribosomal RNA is filed under the name uncultured bacterium. RNAcentral describes it as "partial 16S ribosomal RNA". It matches the Rfam family "Bacterial small subunit ribosomal RNA", at positions 524 to 776 of the family's 1533-position model. The record is from RNAcentral.